GGGCAGCCGCUUUAAUUUGAUUGUGUGUGUCACGGUAAACCAUGCCGGGAACACAAGAGCAACAGAUUUCUAUUUCUCUUGUGACUCGGACGUGUGAUAUCGGGUCAUCCACCCCAUCAAUUAUACAGGAUGCGCGUCUACUUUGAUGCGUGUUCUGAUUACUUGGUCUGAAAUCGAGCAAGAAAACCCGCUGAACUUAA
Molecule: unclassified non-coding RNA, 200 nt
Filed under: Spizellomycetales sp.
Lineage: Eukaryota; Fungi; Chytridiomycota; Chytridiomycetes; Spizellomycetales
Also listed under: 1 other name
Description: partial contains internal transcribed spacer 2 and large subunit ribosomal RNA
Source: RNAcentral